RNAcentral lists this ribosomal RNA (379 nucleotides) under uncultured eukaryote. RNAcentral describes it as "partial 18S ribosomal RNA". It matches the Rfam family "Eukaryotic small subunit ribosomal RNA", at positions 592 to 976 of the family's 1831-position model. The record is from RNAcentral.
CAAUAGCGUAUAUUUAAGUUGUUGCAGUUAAAAAGCUCGUAGUUGGAUUUCGGAUGGGAUUUGCCGGUCCGUCGUUACGAUGUGCACUGGCCAGUCCUAUCUUGUUGUCGGGGACUAGCUCCUUGGAUUCACUUCCUGGGACUAGGAGCUGACGAGGUUACUUUGAGUAAAUUAGAGUGUUCAAAGCAAGCCUACGCUCUGAAUACAUUAGCAUGGAAUAACACGAUAGGACCCUGGCUUAUCUUGUUGGUCUGUGAGACCAGAGUAAUGAUUAAGAGGGACAGUCGGGGACAUUCGUAUUUCAUUGUCAGAGGUGAAAUUCUUGGAUUUAUGAAAGACGAACUUCUGCGAAAGCAUUUGUCAAGGAUGUUUUCAUUAA